GGGACUUCUUUUCGGACGAUCUGUGAGAGCAAAGCAGACAAGAUGUAGGCAGGGGACUGAUAGUUCUGGUGGCGGAAUCCACCACUGGAAGAUUUCGAACAUAGAAUAGUUGAUGAAUUUAGGAUGAUAGAGUCCGUGCCCAGCGAUUGUGUGAUCUGUUGAUUCUAAACUAAGAUUGUCGGGUGUAUUCCAUUCUGCAACGAUUCAACUGAGCGCCAGUGAAAGAAUUCUACUUCCUGAUGUAAAGAUGAUUGUCGCUUGCAAAACACGGAAAGUCUGAAUUCAUGGUGAAACUCUAGAGGUGAUGAAGAACAACAUAUAAGGAGUGUCCGGCCACACUUUCUGAUUUUAAACGUGCUUUAACAUCUACACUUCGUUCUGCAUGAGGAUCAUAACGAUCAUUUCUCGGCUUCCCUGGAGCAUUAUCAACACCGUUAGGUUUGUGUUGUUGAGAGAACUUCUGCUUCAGAGAACAACCUUUUACAAGGGCUCCACCCACUCUAUGGAAGAAGAGACUGGGGUAAAAUGGAAGGUCCACACAGGAGCGACAGAAGCAUAGACACAAAGCCUUCUCAACACAUCCUUUCCUCUUUACCCCAACAAACCCACUCAGUUUUGCCUUUGUUCACUUCUUCCAGAUGUUUUUGCAUCUGUAGUAAUCUAUUCCCUGUUGCUAUGGGAAUAAUAUACCUGACAGAGGCGUCUUGAGGCAGAAAAAGGUUUAUUUUGGUUCAUGGUUCCAUGGAGCAGAGUCCAUCAUACCAAUGAAGGCAUACAUACAGCAGAAGCAUAAUAGCAAGGCAUACAGCAGAUGCAUAAUAGCAGCUUGUCAGAUUGCAUCAGCCAUAAGGAAGAAGCCUCAGUGAUAAACGUCCUCCACUAAAGAACCCUUCUGAAAGUUUCUAUAAUUUUCCCAAACUACCAACUGGAACCAAGUGUUCAAACCCAUAUGCCUCAGGAAGACAUCUCACAUUCAAAGCACAAUGAUGUUGAACAACCCAGUAUGUCUCCUUAUGUCACUAAAGCUGCCUUGAUGACGUCAGCUUGCUUCCUGUUCAGCGAACAAAAUGAAUAUUAUCUACUCUAGUCACGGCUCCAGCCUGGUGUUCUGCCUCUAAACUUCCUCAAGUUGUUCAAGUUUGGGUAUAUCUCUAAUUCAGCGUCCGUGAGAGUGCCAUGAAAUGCACACCACUAGGUGAUGUCAUACCUCAUUAUGCCUUUGCAUCCUAAACCACUGUCAGGAUAGCCAGUGCUGUUCUGUGUGCACGGAAGCCAUCUUAACACAGAAAGGAAACUGUAAAAGGUCUUCCCCUUACAUGUCCUCUUUUGCUUGCUAUCAUGGAAGUGAUAUUUUCUGAUCAUAACUCUCAAGGUCCACCUUAUCCUCAAACCUCUGCAUUGUUUGAGGAGUCACCAUAGAGUUUCUGGUUUUUACUUUAAACCUCACAUUCUCUUUAUGUAAUAUGCUGGAUAAUUUCACAGGCAUCAGGAAUUGAAUCCCCUUCUACCAAGUCUCAUGGGUGGCUGCCCUUCACUGGGCAAGCAUAGGUAUUCAUUAAAUAUUCAUCGAAAGAUUUUUUUUAUUAACUUGUUGUGGCUUUCCCCACACUUUGGAUCCAACUCAAAUACCAGUUAAUACAUAAUCCUUUUUUU
This 1653-nucleotide long non-coding RNA is filed under the name Mus musculus (house mouse). RNAcentral describes it as "predicted gene, 26760 (Gm26760)". The record is from RNAcentral. Lineage: Eukaryota; Metazoa; Chordata; Mammalia; Rodentia; Muridae.